Molecule: ribosomal RNA, 253 nt
Filed under: uncultured bacterium
Lineage: Bacteria
Description: partial 16S ribosomal RNA
Rfam family: Bacterial small subunit ribosomal RNA
Source: RNAcentral
UACGAAGGGGGCUAGCGUUGUUCGGAAUCACUGGGCGUAAAGCGCACGUAGGCGGAUCUUUAAGUCAGGGGUGAAAUCCCGAGGCUCAACCUCGGAACUGCCUUUGAUACUGGGGAUCUCGAGUCCGGGAGAGGUGAGUGGAACUGCGAGUGUAGAGGUGAAAUUCGUAGAUAUUCGGAAGAACACCAGUGGCGAAGGCGGCUCACUGGCCCGGUACUGACGCUGAUGUGCGAAAGCGUGGGGAGCAAACAGG